UGGAUGAUGUGGUUUAAUUCGAUGCAACGCGAAAACCUUACCACCUUUGACAUGUACGGAACCCUUUAGAGAUAGAGGGGUGCUCGAAAGAGAGCCGUAACACAGGUGCUGCAUGGCUGUCGUCAGCUCGUGUCGUGAGAUGUUGGGUUAAGUCCCGCAACGAGCGCAACCCUUGUCAUUAGUUGCUACAUUCAGUUGGGCACUCUAAUGAGACUGCCGGUGACAAGCCGGAGGAAGGUGGGGAUGACGUCAAGUCCUCAUGGCCCUUAUAGGUGGGGCUACACACGUCAUACAAUGGCUGGUACAAAGGGUUGCCAACCCGCGAGGGGGAGCCAAUCCCAUAAAGCCAGUCGUAGUCCGGAUCGUAGUCUGCAACUCGACUACGUGAAGUCGGAAUCGCUAGUAAUCGUGGAUCAGAAUGUCACGGUGAAUACGUUCCCGGGUCUU
Molecule: ribosomal RNA, 447 nt
Filed under: uncultured Rhodoferax sp.
Lineage: Bacteria; Pseudomonadati; Pseudomonadota; Betaproteobacteria; Burkholderiales; Comamonadaceae
Description: bacterial SSU rRNA
Rfam family: Bacterial small subunit ribosomal RNA
Source: RNAcentral